RNAcentral lists this ribosomal RNA (400 nucleotides) under Cladosporium cladosporioides. RNAcentral describes it as "eukaryotic LSU rRNA". The stretch from base 53 to 206 matches the Rfam family "5.8S ribosomal RNA". Lineage: Eukaryota; Fungi; Ascomycota; Dothideomycetes; Cladosporiales; Cladosporiaceae. The record is from RNAcentral.
UUCAAACUCUUGCGUAACUUUGCAGUCUGAGUAAACUUAAUUAAUAAAUUAAAACUUUUAACAACGGAUCUCUUGGUUCUGGCAUCGAUGAAGAACGCAGCGAAAUGCGAUAAGUAAUGUGAAUUGCAGAAUUCAGUGAAUCAUCGAAUCUUUGAACGCACAUUGCGCCCCCUGGUAUUCCGGGGGGCAUGCCUGUUCGAGCGUCAUUUCACCACUCAAGCCUCGCUUGGUAUUGGGCAACGCGGUCCGCCGCGUGCCUCAAAUCGACCGGCUGGGUCUUCUGUCCCCUAAGCGUUGUGGAAACUAUUCGCUAAAGGGUGUUCGGGAGGCUACGCCKUAAAACAACCCCAUUUCUAAGGUUGACCUCGGAUCAGGUAGGGAUACCCGCUGAACUUAAGCA